CAAGUCGAACGGCAGCACGGGAGCAAUCCUGGUGGCGAGUGGCGAACGGGUGAGUAAUAUAUCGGAACGUGCCCAGUCGUGGGGGAUAACGCAGCGAAAGCUGUGCUAAUACCGCAUACGAUCUCUGGAUGAAAGCGGGGGACUCAGCAAUGGGCCUCGCGCGAUUGGAGCGGCCGAUAUCAGAUUAGCUAGUUGGUGGGGUAAAAGCCCACCAAGGCGACGAUCUGUAGCUGGUCUGAGAGGACGACCAGCCACACUGGAACUGAGACACGGUCCAGACUCCUACGGGAGGCAGCAGUGGGGAAUUUUGGACAAUGGGCGAAAGCCUGAUCCAGCAAUGCCGCGUGCAGGAUGAAGGCCUUCGGGUUGUAAACUGCUUUUGUACGGAACGAAACGGUUGCCUCUAAUAAAGGUGGCUAAUGACGGUACCGUAAGAAUAAGCACCGGCUAACUACGUGCCAGCAGCCGCGGUAAUACGUAGGGUGCGAGCGUUAAUCGGAAUUACUGGGCGUAAAGCGUGCGCAGGCGGUUAUAUAAGACAGAUGUGAAAUCCCCGGGCUCAACCUGGGACCUGCAUUCGUGACUGUAUAGCUAGAGUACGGUAGAGGGGGAUGGAAUUCCGCGUGUAGCAGUGAAAUGCGUAGAUGUGCGGAGGAACACCGAUGGCGAAGGCAAUCCCCUGGACCUGUACUGACGCUCAUGCACGAAAGCGUGGGGAGCAAACAGGAUUAGAUACCCUGGUAGUCCACGCCCUAAACGAUGUCAACUGGGUUGUUGGGUCUUCACUGACUCAGUAACGAAGCUAACGCGUGAAGUUGACCGCCUGGGGAGUACGGGCCGCAAGGGUUGAAACUCAAAGGAAUUGACGG
RNAcentral lists this ribosomal RNA (869 nucleotides) under uncultured bacterium. RNAcentral's name for it is "bacterial SSU rRNA". It matches the Rfam family "Bacterial small subunit ribosomal RNA", at positions 58 to 916 of the family's 1533-position model. The record is from RNAcentral.